UGAGGUCCUCUGCCGGCUUGGGCGCCACAGCUGCCAAAAGAUGAAACACCACCGCGGUGUGGACCUUCAGGGUUACGCUGGCCCCACUCUUCUUCCAAAGGACGCAUCAACCGCCUUGUUUGGGCUUCAGGUUCCUUGUCAGUUCAUCCAACACCAGGCCACCCGGCCCUGGAGCUCCUUCGCCAGGAUUCCGAGACACCACCCAGCUCUCUAUUACCAACAAAUGACUCCAGCUGUUUGCAGGGCUGCUUGGUUUGAACAAGUACGUGACCUUGAUUCUCUCUGGGCUUAUCUUCAAUCCACAGCGCAUCCCCGACUUUCAAGGCAGCCUGUAAUUUUUGUGUGUCCUCUUAUGUGAGUACUUCAAGGUCACAAUCACCGGCACACAGCAAUCAGCUCUCAAAUGACUGCCUUAAUGGAUGUUGUUUGCAGCUUAUCCUAACUAGAAUUUCUCUUAGGUCCAGCCUCAAGGCCUGAGGACCUCAGAUGCAAGCUAACAGGGACUAGUGUGCAACUGGAAAUAAGCAGACCUGGGCAAGAAGAACUCCCCAGCUCCAGGUCUAGACCUGAAUAAGCAUCUCCAGCAGUCCAGACACCAACAUAAACAUCAAUGGAACAUCCCUCAGCACCUGGUGCUGCUUCCUUUAGACAAAAUCCAACGAGCUUAAUUAUGGGACUCUGGAGGCCUGAGAAAUUACAGAACAAAGUAGCUGCUGGAAGUAGACGAACUGACAGGAGCCAAGAGGAGGUCCGCUGGUGUCAAAGAAGGACACAGGAGAACAAAAUGAAGAUCUAAGAUCUGGGAAGCCAGAGCAACCUGGGACCACUUACAGAGGGGCAAACUGCCCAAUAAUCCUUGGGGACACGACUGCAUUAUGGCAAAAUACAAUACUUGACCUUAUGAGGACGACAGUGUAUCACCAAUACCAUCUUCUGGUACAAGCAAACCAUGUAUGAAGGAAGAAAACUCUACAAUCCAUUCAAGUAAUUUGAAUGGACAUUAUGCCAUGUUUAUGGUUAAGUAUAAA
Molecule: long non-coding RNA, 1028 nt
Organism: Mustela lutreola (European mink)
Lineage: Eukaryota; Metazoa; Chordata; Mammalia; Carnivora; Mustelidae
Exons: 3
Source: RefSeq, a predicted model, not a curated record